AUUUUUGGGCAUCUAUAAUUACUAUUAGGGUGCGUUUGGUUCGCAUUAUGAAAGAUUACUAGGAAUAAAAGAUGUCCGAGAAUCUUAUUCCUAUUCAUUCUAUUACUAAGAAUGUGGAAUUCCUGUGUUUGGUUCGCACGGUAAUAUUAAUUAGCCAUGUUAUUUAAUAUUGCAAAAAAUAUACAAUUAAUUAAUUAAUUUAUUUAUUUAAUUUUAGAUAAUGUUACCAAAAGUUUCAACAUCUUUUUAGAAAAAAGGGAGAGAGAGUAUAAGUUAGAGAGAGAGAGCAUAAUUAAAAAAAUAGAAAAAAAAAUAUAGUCGAAAUUAGAGGGAGUGAGAGAGUUGAAAUUUUAGAAAGAGAGAGAGAGAGAAAGCUUAGUUUAGAGAGAGAAAAAAAAAGUUGAAUUUUAGAGAGAAAAAUAAGUUUAGAGAGAGAUAUAAGGUUAGAGUGUAAAGAAAAAUAAUAUCAAUUAGCCAGCGGAUAGGAAGAAAGAAAGAGAUUAGACAUAUUAUGAUUACCCCAAUCGAUUAAUAUGAGGAUACCCGCCACCCUCAAGGGAAUGAGAUUAGUACUUUGGGGUGAAUCUUAUUCUCAAGUGAAUCCAAUAUUACCAACUAGAUUACUUAGUGCGUUUAGCCAAAUACCGUCAUAUUUUUUUACUCUCAUUGAAUUACUAGGAAUCUUUAAAAGAUAACGCGAAUCAAACGCACGCUUAGUUUAUUCCUUUUGUAACUAUUGAUUGAUCAUAAGA
This 752-nucleotide long non-coding RNA is filed under the name Ananas comosus (pineapple). Its description in RNAcentral is "long non-coding RNA (ACOM_LNC015304)". Lineage: Eukaryota; Viridiplantae; Streptophyta; Magnoliopsida; Poales; Bromeliaceae. The record is from RNAcentral.